AUUGAACGCUGGCGGAAUGCUUUACACAUGCAAGUCGAACGGCAGCACGGGGCAACCUGGUGGCGAGUGGCGAACGGUGAGUAAUACAUCGGAACGUGCCCAAUCGUGGGGGAUAACGUAGCGAAAGUUACGCUAAUACCGCAUACGAUCUACGGAUGAAAGCGGGGAUCGCAAGACCUCGCGCGAGUGGAGCGGCCGAUGUCAGAUUAGGUAGUUGGUGGGGUAAAGGCUCACCAAGCCAACGAUCUGUAGCUGGUCUGAGAGGACGACCAGCCACACUGGAACUGAGACACGGUCCAGACUCCUACGGGAGGCAGCAGUGGGGAAUUUUGGACAAUGGGCGCAAGCCUGAUCCAGCCAUUCCGCGUGCAGGAUGAAGGCCUCGGUUGUAACUAGCUUUGUACGGUAACGAAACGGACGA
Molecule: ribosomal RNA, 421 nt
Filed under: uncultured bacterium
Lineage: Bacteria
Description: bacterial SSU rRNA
Rfam family: Bacterial small subunit ribosomal RNA
Source: RNAcentral